This 514-nucleotide ribosomal RNA is filed under the name uncultured bacterium. RNAcentral describes it as "bacterial SSU rRNA". It matches the Rfam family "Bacterial small subunit ribosomal RNA", at positions 33 to 518 of the family's 1533-position model. The record is from RNAcentral.
ACGCUGGCGGCGUGCCUAAUACAUGCAAGUCGAACGGUCUUUUCUAUGGAAGCUUGCUUCCACUGAGAAGAUAGUGGCGAACGGGUGAGUAACACGUGGGUAACCUGCCCAUAAGAGGGGGAUAACAUCCGGAAACGGGUGCUAAUACCGCAUAGUUUUUCUUGAUCGCAUGAUUGAGAAAGGAAAGACGGCCUUUGUGCUGUCGCUUAUGGAUGGACCCGCGGCGUAUUAGUUAGUUGGUGAGGUAACGGCUCACCAAGACGAUGAUACGUAGCCGACCUGAGAGGGUGAUCGGCCACAUUGGGACUGAGACACGGCCCAAACUCCUACGGGAGGCAGCAGUAGGGAAUCUUCCGCAAUGGACGAAAGUCUGACGGAGCAACGCCGCGUGAGUGAAGAAAGGUUUUCGGAUCGUAAAACUCUGUUGUCAGAGAAGAACAAGUUGGAGAGUAACUGCUCCAGCCUUGACGGUAUCUGACCAGAAAGCCACGGCUAACUACGUGCCAGCCGCUGC